This 253-nucleotide ribosomal RNA is filed under the name uncultured bacterium. RNAcentral's name for it is "partial 16S ribosomal RNA". It matches the Rfam family "Bacterial small subunit ribosomal RNA", at positions 524 to 776 of the family's 1533-position model. The record is from RNAcentral.
UACGAAGGUGGCAAGCGUUGUUCGGAAUUACUGGGCGUAAAGCGCGUGUAGGCGGCUCUUCAAGUCAGACGUGAAAGCCCCGGGCUUAACUCGGGAACUGCGUUUGAUACUGUCGAGCUAGAGUGUGGAAGGGGCGAUUGGAAUUCCGGGUGUAGCGGUGAAAUGCGUAGAUAUACGGAGGAACACCAGAGGCGAAGGCGGAUCGCUGGGCCAACACUGACGCUGAGACGCGAAAGCGAGGGGAGCAAACAGG